Molecule: long non-coding RNA, 367 nt
Filed under: Phasianus colchicus (ring-necked pheasant)
Lineage: Eukaryota; Metazoa; Chordata; Aves; Galliformes; Phasianidae
Description: lncRNA (ENSPCLG00000002111.1)
Source: RNAcentral
AAAAUAAAUAGCUUGCUGAUGGAUUAGAUAAAUUGGAUUUUUAUAGAGUCCCAUCUAUUUCAAAGGUCUUUCUUUUCUCUCGCAGGUUGAUUGCCACUCCAGAACUGCUGCACCUGCUCCAGAGCACAGUCUUUAUUUUUAAUUCAUACAGCUACAUAUUCUGCAUUUCCCUCAGGCUAGUUGAACACUUCAUGCUCCAACUUCAUCUGAAAAAUUGCUUUACGUCUCCUGGAAGUGAGGGAAAUCCAUUUUCUGUCAAGACCAGAGAGAAUCUGCUCUCUGAAGGUAAAGGGCAGAGCUUAAAUGAAGUGACUGUAUUGGUUGUCCUGUACAGCUGUAGUGACCUGCCACCAUCCUGUGUGUGAUU